This 468-nucleotide ribosomal RNA is filed under the name uncultured bacterium. Its description in RNAcentral is "partial 16S ribosomal RNA". It matches the Rfam family "Bacterial small subunit ribosomal RNA", at positions 28 to 507 of the family's 1533-position model. The record is from RNAcentral.
GACGAACGCUGGCGGCGUGCUUAACACAUGCAAGUCGAACGGAAAGGCCCUGCUUUUGUGGGGUGCUCGAGUGGCGAACGGGUGAGUAACACGUGAGUAACCUGCCCUUGGCUUUGGGAUAACUUCAGGAAACUGGGGCUAAUACCGGAUAGGAGCUCCUGCUGCAUGGUGGGGGUUGGAAAGUUUCGGCGGUUGGGGAUGGACUCGCGGCUUAUCAGCUUGUUGGUGGGGUAGUGGCUUACCAAGGCUUUGACGGGUAGCCGGCCUGAGAGGGUGACCGGCCACAUUGGGACUGAGAUACGGACCAGACUCCUACGGGAGGCAGCAGGGGGGAAUAUUGCACAAUGGGCGGAAGCCUGAUGCAGCAACGCCGCGUGCGGGAUGACGGCCUUCGGGGUGUAAACCGCUUUCGCCUGUGACGAAGCGUGAGUGACGGUAAUGGGUAAAGAAGCACCGGCUAACUACGUG